This 244-nucleotide ribosomal RNA is filed under the name uncultured Actinomycetales bacterium. Its description in RNAcentral is "partial 16S ribosomal RNA". It matches the Rfam family "Bacterial small subunit ribosomal RNA", at positions 89 to 334 of the family's 1533-position model. The record is from RNAcentral. Lineage: Bacteria; Bacillati; Actinomycetota; Actinomycetes; Actinomycetales.
GCUCGAGUGGCGAACGGGUGAGUAACACGUGAGUAACCUGCCCUUGACUUUGGGAUAACUUCAGGAAACUGGGGCUAAUACCGGAUAGGAGCUCCUGCUGCAUGGUGGGGGUUGGAAAGUUUCGGCGGUUGGGGAUGGACUCGCGGCUUAUCAGCUUGUUGGUGGGGUAGUGGCUUACCAAGGCUUUGACGGGUAGCCGGCCUGAGAGGGUGACCGGCCACAUUGGGAAUGAGAUACGGCCCAG